AACGAACGCUGGCGGCAUGCCUAACACAUGCCAGUCGAACGAGACCUUCGGGCCUAGUGGCGCACGUGUGCGUAACGCGUGGGAACCUGCCCUUAGGUUCGGAAUACCUCCCCGAAAGGGGUGCUAAUACCGGAUAAUCUCUUCGGACCAAAGAUUUCUCGCCUUUGGAUGGGCCCGCGUUAGAUUCGCUAGUUGGUAGGGUAAAAGCCUACCAAGGCGACGAUCCAUAGCUGGUCUGAGAGGAUGAUCAGCCACACUGGGACUGAGACACGGCCCAGACUCCUACGGGGGGCAGCAGUGGGGAAUAUUGGACAAUGGGGGAAGGCGUGAUCCAGCAAUGCCGGGGAAGAGAUGAAGGGCGUAGGGUUGUAAAGCUCUUUUACCCGGGAUGAUAAUGACAGUACCGGGUGAAUAAGCUCCGGCUAACUACGUG
Molecule: ribosomal RNA, 433 nt
Filed under: uncultured bacterium
Lineage: Bacteria
Description: partial 16S ribosomal RNA
Rfam family: Bacterial small subunit ribosomal RNA
Source: RNAcentral